CGCGUUUUUCGCCCAGGCGGAGCUCGACCGUCGCUUCAAGUCGUGAGAACGUUCAUCGACCAGCACCGCCAAGCGUAUGGGGUCGAGUCGAUUUGCAAAGUCUUGCAGAUCGCCCCG
Regulatory RNA element from Duganella sp. Leaf126, 117 nucleotides. It matches the Rfam family "ALIL pseudoknot". The record is from Rfam. Lineage: Bacteria; Pseudomonadati; Pseudomonadota; Betaproteobacteria; Burkholderiales; Oxalobacteraceae.